AAGCUAACAGGAGAUUCAUUCUCAGCGGGCAGUGGCCAAAAGUGAGAGAAGCCAGUUCUGUUUCCGUGCCUCGCUGUGCCUCGCUGAUACCGUGGCCCUCCGCCUCCCCAGCUGACACUUGGCAUAUACCUAAAGGGCAGUGUCAAGGAGGAAAAGUGAGCCAAAGCCCGGAAGUCUGUCCUGCCUGCUUCUGUAAUCUGGCGCUAUGCAUCCAGAUCCUCGGCCCUUACAGACACUGCUGUAUGUUGUUACACUUACGGUUCUAUGCCCUUCUGUGAAUUCAGGUUAAGAGCUGAAGAACGGUCGUGUUUGUUUGUUUGUUUUUUAGGUUUUUAAAUUUUAAUUCCAGUGUAGUUAACAUACAGUGUUGUAUGAAUUUCAGGAGUAUAAUACAGCCAUUCAGCAGUUCUAUACACGACUCAGUGCUCAGCAUCAUUAAGU
RNAcentral lists this long non-coding RNA (441 nucleotides) under Canis lupus familiaris (dog). RNAcentral's name for it is "lncRNA (ENSCAFG00030011922.1)". Lineage: Eukaryota; Metazoa; Chordata; Mammalia; Carnivora; Canidae. The record is from RNAcentral.